This 252-nucleotide ribosomal RNA is filed under the name uncultured bacterium. Its description in RNAcentral is "partial 16S ribosomal RNA". It matches the Rfam family "Bacterial small subunit ribosomal RNA", at positions 524 to 776 of the family's 1533-position model. The record is from RNAcentral.
UACGUAGGUCCCGAGCGUUGUCCGGAUUUAUUGGGCGUAAAGCGAGCGCAGGUGGUUUAUUAAGUCUGGCGUAAAAGGCAGUGGCUCAACCAUUGUAUGCAUUGGAAACUGGUAGACUUGAGUGCAGGAGAGGAGAGUGGAAUUCCAUGUGUAGCGGUGAAAUGCGUAGAUAUAUGGAGGAACACCGGUGGCGAAAGCGGCUCUCUGGCCCGUAACUGACACUGAGGCUCGAAAGCGUGGGGAGCAAACAGG